RNAcentral lists this transfer RNA (65 nucleotides) under uncultured Halobacteriovorax sp. It matches the Rfam family "tRNA", at positions 6 to 65 of the family's 71-position model. From Rfam's summary of the family: Transfer RNA (tRNA) molecules are approximately 80 nucleotides in length. Their secondary structure includes four short double-helical elements and three loops (D, anti-codon, and T loops). Further hydrogen bonds mediate the characteristic L-shaped molecular structure. tRNAs have two regions of fundamental functional importance: the anti-codon, which is responsible for specific mRNA codon recognition, and the 3' end, to which the tRNAs corresponding amino acid is attached (by aminoacyl-tRNA synthetases). tRNAs cope with the degeneracy of the genetic code in two manners: having more than one tRNA (with a specific anti-codon) for a particular amino acid; and 'wobble' base-pairing, i.e. permitting non-standard base-pairing at the 3rd anti-codon position. RNAcentral also lists the same sequence under 1 other name. The record is from RNAcentral. Lineage: Bacteria; Pseudomonadati; Bdellovibrionota; Bacteriovoracia; Bacteriovoracales; Halobacteriovoraceae.
UGAUAGCUCAGUUGGUAGAGCAAAGGACUGAAAAUCCUUGUGUCGGUGGUUCGAGUCCGCCUCGG